Molecule: unclassified non-coding RNA, 102 nt
Organism: Cavia porcellus (domestic guinea pig)
Lineage: Eukaryota; Metazoa; Chordata; Mammalia; Rodentia; Caviidae
Rfam family: Y RNA
About the family: Y RNAs are components of the Ro ribonucleoprotein particle (Ro RNP), in association with Ro60 and La proteins. The Y RNAs and Ro60 and La proteins are well conserved, but the function of the Ro RNP is not known.
Source: Ensembl
GGCUGGUCCGAGUGCAGUGGUGUUUACAACUAAUUGAUCAUAACCAGUUACAGAUUUCUUUGUUCCUUCUCCACUCCCACUGCUUCACUUGACUAGCCUUAA